CGGAGGUCCCUUCGAGGAUCGGAGCUGCCCCGAGAAACUCCUAGGCUAAUCGUCUGAGGGAGGAGAUAAAGCCCUUUCUUCUCCCGGGAAAGUGCAGCGGAGCGCGGGGUGAGCAGAAAGGGACCCUCGGUUCGCAUCCCGCCCGCGCGCCCGCUGGGGAGAGCCGCCGCCGCCGCCGCCGCCGCCGCCCGGCUCCGAGGGAUCCCGCCGGACCGGCCCCGUCCUCUGCGGCUCACUCUGCCCUGCCUGGCGCCGGUCCCGGAUCGCCGGCUCCCCAUGGCUUCCAGCCGCCGCUCGUCUGCACUCACUUUCCCAUCCCGUUCCAGGCUGGCGACUUCGCUGCUGAGCUGAAACUGCUAAUUUCUGUGACCAGCUUUUUUCUUAGCUGUGAUCUGGAUGAAUGAGUAGCUGUCUCACAGAGAUGACAAAAAUAAACUCUAAUCCCCCCAAAAAUUUCC
Long non-coding RNA from Perognathus longimembris pacificus (Pacific pocket mouse), 458 nucleotides. RefSeq lists it as uncharacterized. The transcript is spliced from 3 exons. The record is from RefSeq and is a predicted model, not a curated record. Lineage: Eukaryota; Metazoa; Chordata; Mammalia; Rodentia; Heteromyidae.